Molecule: long non-coding RNA, 545 nt
Filed under: Phoenix dactylifera (date palm)
Lineage: Eukaryota; Viridiplantae; Streptophyta; Magnoliopsida; Arecales; Arecaceae
Description: long non-coding RNA (PDAC_LNC022014)
Source: RNAcentral
UUAGGAUGAAUGACACCAUCAUCCAAGUCAUUUCUUUUCUCUCUUUUUUUGGUGGGGGUGGGGAGGCAGGGGGAUCCACACAUGACACACAUAUGUAUAUAUAAAGCCACUUGGAUGGUAGGAGUGAGAGGUUGGAAAUUGGUAUCAGUUACUGUAUAAGGUGGGAUCUUCUAGCAAUCGGAUUCUGCUGUUAUUGUCACUUUAAUUGUUGGACAGGGAUGGAAUUUUGGUGGAAAAAAAAGAAAGAUACUGGAAGAGGAUUCAUGUAGAAUAGGGGAGGCAGGGGUCGAUAUUGGGAAAGUACAGGCUUUCUCUUUGUUUUGCAUUCUUGAAUUUAUUGGAAUUGUGUUACUUGAGUUUGAACUGGUGAUGAGAUUCCUGAUUUAGAAAGGUUUUGUAUUCUGCCUUGAAUUAGGUUGGAUAGAAUUAAAUUCUUAUUUUAACACAUUUCGAGCCAUGGAAUGAAGUGGAAUGGGAAACUUAUGUCCAUAUUGUUGUCUUCUUACAUCCAGUCGAAAAAGGCCAAAUUUUUCCGCCCCCCCCCC